Molecule: ribosomal RNA, 393 nt
Filed under: uncultured bacterium
Lineage: Bacteria
Description: partial 16S ribosomal RNA
Rfam family: Bacterial small subunit ribosomal RNA
Source: RNAcentral
AUACGGAGGAUGCAAGCGUUAUCCGGAUUUAUUGGGUUUAAAGGGUGCGUAGGCGGUUUGCUAAGCGGGAGGUGAAAUGCCGGCGCUCAACGUCGGAAGUGCUUCCCGAACUGGUGGACUUGAAUGACUCUGCCGUGGGAGGAAUGUGUAGUGUAGCGGUGAAAUGCUUAGAGAUUACACAGAACACCGAUUGCGAAGGCAUCUCACGAAGGGUUGAUUGACGCUGAGGCACGAAAGCGUGGGGAUCAAACAGGAUUAGAUACCCUGGUAGUCCACGCAGUAAACGAUGAUGGCUAACCGCUGGGCUUAUCAGUUCAGUGGCCAAGCGAAAGCGAUAAGCCAUCCACCUGGGGAGUACGACCGCAAGGUUGAAACUCAAAUGAAUUGGCGGGG